Anopheles gambiae (African malaria mosquito) is the source of this 2558-nucleotide long non-coding RNA. RefSeq lists it as uncharacterized. The record is from RefSeq and is a predicted model, not a curated record. Lineage: Eukaryota; Metazoa; Arthropoda; Insecta; Diptera; Culicidae. The transcript is spliced from 2 exons.
UGUUUGUUCAGCUUGAUUAUUACGUUUGUGGUACAUCGUUAAGGGACAUCUUUAUAAAAUACAGGCACUUUCAAAUUACGAUAUAAACAAAGUUAACAUGCUACAAAUAAGCAUUACACUACUACCAAGUUGUAGAAUUUACCCCCAUUGGCCGCACAAGUUUUAGUGACAUUUUAUAUUAUAUAGAUUAAUGUAAAAAUUACGCCUUGUGCUACAGAACUAAUCAAUAGUAUUUAUAAAACAAUACUAUUAACAUGGAAACUAUAAUUUUGUUGAAAUAACGCCACAAUUCCUUAAGUCCCAGAAGUAAAAACUUACAUCGGCUGUCAAUCAGAACCACCAUGUGUUUAUUUUGUUGUUUUUUUGACAAUUGACAGGUUUGUGAUCAGUGAAAUGUGACUCAAAUAUUCGAAACAGUUGACAUAAAUAAUAUGUAUAAGUUUUUUGUCUUCAAAAAGUUCUAUAAAUACAAAAACGGCAAGGUGUCGAACUUACCCGCAGUGUCGAACCAACCCCGACUGCCCUUAUGUGUUCACAUUCAGCCAUUGCGCUCAGUUUGGUUUUCUCGUAGCAUCAUGUUGGUAUCGGUGUCUCGCUCGCACUAAUGUAGCGAGUGUUCCUCUGUGCGCUCCCUUUCUUGCCACCACACGAAAUCGUCAGUUCAGCUUAAGCGUUCGCCGUGAAAGGCCGCGCGCUUGUUAGCCUAAGCCGGACGAUUGAAGUUUUGAUAAAUGUUGGAGUGUUGUGCAUAUUGAAACGCUUAUCUUUUAUUUUCUAUUACAGGGUUUUCGAGGAUUAUAUAGACAUGUUCAGCGAGUUGUAGAUUCGUUCAGGCAUAUAAUAGACUCUUUCGGCGAGAUAAAGAAUUGUUCGGAAGUAGGCGUUGACAUGUUCAGCGAUUCUGUAGAGCUGUCAUUUGUUUUGUUUACACACUGUGCCGCAGGGUUCAAUUUUUCAUUCUUAAAAGUCCUAAAAGUAGCUAAUAAUCAUUCUCCAAGCUGUUUAAUACAUAAAUUAGUUGAAAAAAGCAUAUUUUUUCGAAAACCGUUUGUUUACCUUCUGAUGAGAAUGAUCCAACUUGCAGUCCAUGGGGUACGAAAGUGACAGCUCUACAGUAUAACCGAACAUGUCUACACCGACUUCCGAACAAUUCUAUAUCUCGCUGAAAGAGUCUAUUAUAUGCCUGAACGAAUCUACAACUCGAUAAACAUGUCUAUAUAAUCCUCGAAAACCCUGUAUUAAACGCUUUCUAUUAUUUUGAUUUCCGCUGCUUUAUUUCAUUUUUUUUGUUUUGAUUCGUGCGUUCCAAGGCUGAGUAAAGCGAAGCAAACAGUGCACUACGAAAGAAACUUGCGGGAGGGGAUGUCAGUGCAGCGCAGCGCAACUCGUAAGAAUCAAAAGGGAGGGUGAACCAAUCCAGCGUAGUCCCUAUGGGACUGGGACAAAAGUACAGGCGGUCACCGAGAUACACGGUUAAUGGGGACCGAAAACGGCCGCAAAAUACCGCGUAUCAGGAAUUUCCGCAUUCGAUCAAAAGGGAAAUUAAUUAGCAUUUGACAAUGGAUGUGUCAAAUCAGCCUUCCGUCUUGCCGUCUUACCGUCUUCCCUCCCGCUCCAGCUGCUGGUACUUUGAUGAGCUGUCGUAGGCGCGGUAACAGCCUGAAGCGCAAAGCUUUGGGACCGCUCGAUGCCGUUCCUGCAACUACCGCUGCUAACCAGGCUGUCGUUCCCGUUGUGGACCCGGUUGUCGUUUCAGCUGAAGAAUCCGUCCCAUUCUCCGUAGUGGAGAAAUUGUUCACGGAAUUCGCGAUCGUCCGGUCUAAGCUGGAUCGAUUGGACGAAUCCGUCGAGGGGAUACGGGGGGAGCAAAAGAAGCAUCAUGCUGAAAUAUCAAGCAAAAUUUCGGCCAUCGCCAAGUCGGUGCACCUGGUCCGAAGUGCAGGUGGGGCAGAUCAAAAAAUCGUUCUGUGUUGGCCAAGAUGGCUAUGCUCCUCCUCUCCGAGGGCUUUACACUUACGCCCGUCACAACGGAGGAUGAGCUAAAUGCUUUAGAGCAGAAGCUGGGCGAUGCUGAGUGUAUGCGGGAUAGCUUAGCUUGGCUGCAGGCUAAGGUGUUCGACUCCGAGACACAAAAAACCCUAGACGAAGCAAGGAAUUUUUGCCUCGCUACAGCUGGAGCGGGAGCAAUGCAAAAGUUGCUAAAAAAUAUAUAGCAACAUUUUGCAGCUUUUUAAGAAGAUUGGGAGCACCAAUAAAGUUAUAAUAGCUCUCGGAUUUGCUCGAGAUUAUUUCGGGAAAAAAUUGCGGUACGCGUAUCAACUCGUGCCAAAAAAAAACCGAACCCUGUAGAGGAUGGUGACGGUGGGCACAAUUUAAAUAUAAUUUAGCUUAUAUUAAUUUAGUCUAGUUAAGUAUUGAUUAGAUAGCUAUAGGUGACCAAUUAAGCUUAGUAAGUUGAGGUUUGCAUAGCAUAGGUAAGCAUCGUUUAGCAUAAUUUGUUAUUAAAGCUGAAUUGAACAAUUAAAACACGUAAAAAACUUGUUUGAUUUCAUAACGAA